CUACGGGGGGCAGCAGUGAGGAAUAUUGCACAAUGGAGGAAACUCUGAUGCAGCAACGCCGCGUGGAGGAUGACGCAUUUCGGUGUGUAAACUCCUUUUAUAUGUCAAGAAAAUGACGGUAGUAUAUGAAUAAGCACCGGCUAACUCCGUGCCAGCAGCCGCGGUAAUACGGAGGGUGCAAGCGUUACUCGGAAUCACUGGGCGUAAAGGACGCGUAGGCGGGAUAUCAAGUCAGGUGUGAAAUCCUACAGCUUAACUGUAGAACUGCACUUGAAACUGGUAACCUAGAGUAUGGGAGGGGGAGAUGGAAUUAGUGGUGUAGGGGUAAAAUCCGUAGAUAUCACUAGGAAUACCUAAAGCGAAGGCGAUCUCCUGGAACAUUACUGACGCUAAGGCGUGAAAGCGUGGGGAGCAAACAGGAUUAGAUACCCUCGUAGUC
RNAcentral lists this ribosomal RNA (439 nucleotides) under uncultured bacterium. RNAcentral describes it as "partial 16S ribosomal RNA". It matches the Rfam family "Bacterial small subunit ribosomal RNA", at positions 339 to 795 of the family's 1533-position model. The record is from RNAcentral.